Molecule: non-coding RNA, 75 nt
Organism: Haemonchus placei
Lineage: Eukaryota; Metazoa; Nematoda; Chromadorea; Rhabditida; Trichostrongylidae
Source: Rfam
GGUCCAAAUUUGAAGUAGAGCAGAUUAGUAGUAUCAGUUGACCCUACUUAUCUACUGUACUUCAAAUUUUGGCCC